Molecule: ribosomal RNA, 243 nt
Filed under: uncultured Alcaligenes sp.
Lineage: Bacteria; Pseudomonadati; Pseudomonadota; Betaproteobacteria; Burkholderiales; Alcaligenaceae
Description: partial 16S ribosomal RNA
Rfam family: Bacterial small subunit ribosomal RNA
Source: RNAcentral
UACCGCAUACGCCCUACGAGGGAAAGGGGGGGAUCGCAAGACCUCUCACUAUUAGAGCGGCCGAUAUCGGAUUAGCUAGUUGGUGGGGUAAAGGCUCACCAAGGCAACGAUCCGUAGCUGGUUUGAGAGGACGACCAGCCACACUGGGACUGAGACACGGCCCAGACUCCUACGGGAGGCAGCAGUGGGGAAUUUUGGACAAUGGGGGAAACCCUGAUCCAGCCAUCCCGCGUGUAUGAUGAA